UGCUUGGGUAGCUCAGUUGGUAGAGCACUUGCCCGUGUAAGGCAAAGGUCCCGAGUUCGAGUCUCGGCCCGGCAC
This 75-nucleotide transfer RNA is filed under the name Schistocerca americana (American grasshopper). RNAcentral's name for it is "tRNA-Thr". It matches the Rfam family "tRNA". From Rfam's summary of the family: Transfer RNA (tRNA) molecules are approximately 80 nucleotides in length. Lineage: Eukaryota; Metazoa; Arthropoda; Insecta; Orthoptera; Acrididae. The record is from RNAcentral.